Long non-coding RNA from Micropterus dolomieu (smallmouth bass), 1211 nucleotides. RefSeq lists it as uncharacterized. The record is from RefSeq and is a predicted model, not a curated record. Lineage: Eukaryota; Metazoa; Chordata; Actinopteri; Centrarchiformes; Centrarchidae. The transcript is spliced from 2 exons.
AGAGAGGAAUUAAAUCAGCUUCAUCCUUUCCCCCCUCCCCAUGUUUUCUAAAUAGUCUGAGUGCAUCUUUUUCCACAGAAUGAUUGGCUCUAGGAGUGAACAGCUGACACCUACAAACUGCCUGCUCAAUCACAAACUAAAUGUGGCCGCAGGCUUUUAAGCUUUCCUGACCUAUAACCAGGCUGUAUUUGGUACAGGGUGGGGUGAGAGGGCUAAAAAUAAAGAAAUGCUUGUUUCCUUACCCAUGGCUACCCAGACAGCAAAUGCCUCACACAAACACACAGCUGUCAGUGUCCGAGAAUACCAAGGGACCUUGGGGAAUGGGAGAGUGAACUGCUGCUUCAUGUCCUGGCCAACACUGGGUUUGCGUCUGGUUAGCACUUUAGCAUUCAGCCUGGACUCUGAUGUUUUGAACAGUUGUUUGGUAAAUGUGAUGGCAGCCACUCCCUCCAAGCUAACUGAUGGCUAAAACGAUGGUGAAGGCAGAAAAUGGGACCAGUCACCAGCCCACACGUUGUGCAAGGAGUCAACAACGGACAGCUAGCAUGAGCUAAUUACCUGCUGGUGAGGAUAACCACCACCGAAGUCCCUGUCUGUUGAAGCUGGGUCCCUGCUCAAGUCUUCAUCGGGGUAAACUGAAGCUCCGUUGCCCAGCCACUCCAUCCCUGCUCAGCAACCAGCUGGCUAGCUCUGCUUAUGCUAGCCGUGUUGGAUCAAUCACUGUGUUGCUGUCUUUGACCAGCUGUCUGCCACAGAUAUGUUUAAUAAGGUUGAGAAGUCAGCAGAGCCGACAGGGAACUGUGAUGCACCGCGUCGGGGAGUUCCGCUCCUUUAAAUGACAACAUAUAACUACAAUAGCAACAGUGCUAAGCAGCCCAGCUACGUCUUUUUACUGGGUGACAAACAGAGCACGUGGUAAACAACUUGACCACGUGACACGGCUUCAAGCAUUUCUACUGAGUUCUAUUCAUUUCUAGUAAUUUCUUCUGUACUGAAUGGACAGGGCUCUGUAGUCAAGUGUGAAGACAACAUCAGAUGGAAAAUUAUAGAGCAAUUCACGAUAAAAUAUAAAGAGAAACUUUGUGUGGAAUUAUCCGUAGAUAUGGCCACAAUAAUUUCUUGGAUACAGUUGUAAACAAUUUUUUUUUCAGGCUAAGAGGUACCUAUAAGUGUUCAAAUUAAAGCCCUUUCUGGGUCGGAUCUGAACUAAA